Prunus dulcis (almond) is the source of this 436-nucleotide long non-coding RNA. RefSeq lists it as uncharacterized. The record is from RefSeq and is a predicted model, not a curated record. NCBI's taxonomy places the organism in Eukaryota, Viridiplantae, Streptophyta, Magnoliopsida, Rosales, Rosaceae. The transcript is spliced from 4 exons.
AGCCGAAAAUGGAAGUAAACUUGUGCGGAUACCGCGUGGGCAAGAUAGUCUUGAUCUACCAUUACCUGCUGGUGUGACACAUGUAACUGCUGAAGCUGCAACUGAGAUUUUGGAGCUGAAUGCUGGGUUGAAUGCCGUACUAUUUUCAACUUCAUUGGAAGCAAGCAUAGAGAUCAGUCGCCUACGGCAAGAGAUUGAGAAAUUGAAGAACACCUCGGGAACAACCAUUGCAAGUUCAGGUAUUGGUGAAGACGUCAUAGAUGAUGAUGCAGAACAUGAGUUUCGCACAAAAUUUAAAGCUGACCACAUAGGUAGAAAAGGAAAGACAAAAAUUGUGAUACCAGAAGAGCAUGAAGAAGAUGAGGAAGAGGAAGAAGAAGAGGAAGAAGAGGAAGAUGAAGAGGAAGAUGAAGACGAUGCUUGGAUCGACGAGACA